RNAcentral lists this ribosomal RNA (455 nucleotides) under uncultured bacterium. Its description in RNAcentral is "bacterial SSU rRNA". It matches the Rfam family "Bacterial small subunit ribosomal RNA", at positions 340 to 786 of the family's 1533-position model. The record is from RNAcentral.
UACGGAAGGCAGCAGUAGGGAAUCUUCCGCAAUGGGCGAAAGCCUGACGGAGCAACGCCGCGUGAGUGAUGAAGGUCUUCGGAUCGUAAAACUCUGUUAUUAGGGAAGAACAAACGUGUAAGUAACUGUGCACGUCUUGACGGUACCUAAUCAGAAAGCCACGGCUAACUACGUGCCAGCAGCCGCGGUAAUACGUAGGUGGCAAGCGUUAUCCGGAAUUAUUGGGCGUAAAGCGCGCGUAGGCGGUUUUUUAAGUCUGAUGUGAAAGCCCACGGCUCAACCGUGGAGGGUCAUUGGAAACUGGAAACUUGAGUGCAGAAGAGGAAAGUGGAAUUCCAUGUGUAGCGGUGAAAUGCGCAGAGAUAUGGAGGAACACCAGUGGCGAAGGCGACUUUUCUGGGUCUGUAACUGACGCCGAUGUGCGAAAGCGUGGGGAUCAAACAGGAUUAGAUACC